Manis javanica (Malayan pangolin) is the source of this 415-nucleotide long non-coding RNA. RefSeq lists it as uncharacterized. Lineage: Eukaryota; Metazoa; Chordata; Mammalia; Pholidota; Manidae. The record is from RefSeq and is a predicted model, not a curated record.
CCCAGGCGGAGGCGCAGGCCGGGCGGCGCCGCGGAGUCUGUCCGCAGACGGGACGGGGCGGGGCGUGCCUGAGGGGCGGGGCCGCGCGGUCCCGGGCCCCGACUGGCCCCGCCCCCCAGCUGGGGAUGCGCGGACCGAGGCGGCCUGCUUCUCCCAGCUGGAGAAGCCCAUCUGCUCACGGGCGGGGCGCUUGAGUCUCAGAAUGCAAGUUGUAACAGAGAUGAUGCCUGGGGCAGGAGCAGCUAUCUUGGCCUAUGAGAUGACUUUGGGAAAAAAAGUCACUCAGAGCAGAAUGAUAAGAUAGAAAAAGCGUGGACCUCUGUCACUGUAGUGUGCCAUCCCGGCUCCGGCUCUGGACCACUCAUCUCUGCAUUUUUACAUGAGAGAGGAAUAAACUUCUAUCAUGUUUAAACCA